UGGGGAAUAUUGCGCAAUGGGGGAAACCCUGACGCAGCGACGCCGCGUGCGGGAUGAAGGCCUUCGGGUUGUAAACCGCUUUUGAUUGGGAGCAAGCUUUCGGGUGAGUGUACCUUUCGAAUAAGCGCCGGCUAACUACGUGCCAGAAGCCGCGGUAAUACGUAGGGCGCAAGCGUUAUCCGGAAUUAUUGGGCGUAAAGAGCUUGUAGGCGGUUCGUCGCGUCUGGUGUGAAAGCCCAUCGCUUAACGGUUGGUUUGCGCCGGGUCCGGGCGGGCUAUAGUGCAGUAGGGGCGACUGGAAUUCUCGGUGUAACGGUGGAAUGUGUAGAUAUCGGGAAGAACGCCAAUGGCGAAGGCAGGUCUCUGGGCUGUUACUGACGCUGAGAAGCGAAAGCGUGGGGAGCGAGCAGG
RNAcentral lists this ribosomal RNA (411 nucleotides) under Bacteroidota bacterium. Its description in RNAcentral is "Bacteroidetes bacterium partial 16S ribosomal RNA". It matches the Rfam family "Bacterial small subunit ribosomal RNA", at positions 355 to 776 of the family's 1533-position model. Lineage: Bacteria; Pseudomonadati; Bacteroidota. The record is from RNAcentral.